Molecule: transfer RNA, 61 nt
Filed under: uncultured Symbiodinium
Lineage: Eukaryota; Dinophyceae; Suessiales; Symbiodiniaceae
Source: RNAcentral
GGGAUUAGCUCAGUCGGUAGAGCGCAUGACUGCAGAGCGGGAGGUCGGGGGUUCGUUUCCA